This 445-nucleotide ribosomal RNA is filed under the name uncultured bacterium. RNAcentral describes it as "partial 16S ribosomal RNA". It matches the Rfam family "Bacterial small subunit ribosomal RNA", at positions 354 to 796 of the family's 1533-position model. The record is from RNAcentral.
GUGAGGAAUAUUGCGCAAUGGAGGCAACUCUGACGCAGCCAUGCCGCGUGCAGGAAGAAGGCGCUACGCGUUGUAAACUGCUUUUAACCGGGAAGAAACCCCAGGACGUGUCCUGGGUUGAGGGUACCGGAGGAAUAAGCACCGGCUAACUUCGUGCCAGCAGCCGCGGUCAUACGAAGGGUGCAAGCGUUAUCCGGAUUCAUUGGGUUUAAAGGGUGCGUAGGCGGAGCGUUAAGUCAGUGGUGAAAUCCUGCAGCUUAACUGUAGACUUGCCAUUGAUACUGGCGCUCUUGAGUGCGCUUGAAGUGGGCGGAAUGUGCCGUGUAGCGGUGAAAUGCUUAGAUAUGGCACAGAACACCAAUUGCGAAGGCAGCUCACUAAGGCGAUACUGACGCUGAGGCACGAAAGCGUGGGGAUCGAACAGGAUUAGAUACCCCUGUAGUCC